AUUAAGUCCAAUAAGAUUUGUAUCAUCAAUGAGUCAGCACUCAGAUUUUUGUUUUAAGAAAAAGUCCAAUAAGAUUUGUAUCAUCAAUUACUCUAAUUAAAAGUAACGUGAAUUAAGAAAAGGAUUAGGUUACACUGAAAAUGAUUGGAACGUACUCUCCUCCCUCUCUUUCCAACUCGGUGCGGCGGCCGGAGAUCUUGUUUUCUUCGAUGCACAAAACAACGCCGCCGUACGCGGCCUUUCCUUCUGCCUCACUCUCGUCACGCAUCUCUCGCGUCACCGUCUCAAUCUUUCGACCUCUUCUUCUUCGAUGAUCUCACGGACUCAAGCACAAUAGCGCCGUUCUCUGAUACUCACGCUCUUCUCCGAUCGAUUCUUCUGCUUGCCGCUACUGAAUCUAUGGUUCAGAGAUGAUGAUGUUCAAUUCCAUAAAUCCAGAGAUGAGACUCCUUGCGAAAUAAACGCACAAGAAUGAUGCGAUUCCUCAGAUUCGUUGAUGUAGCGGAUUCGAUGAUGCAAAGCGAAGGCAAAGAUCGUGAUGAUGAUGGUUGCGUCGCAGAUUGAAGCUGACUGAUGAAGGUGUCGUGUAAAGUGAAUUCAGAGUGUUUUCCUGUUGAUUUUCUGAGAGAUGAUUGGAGUGAUGUUCUGAGUUUUUUCGUGAGUGAUUGAGAGGUUGAAGAAGCUCAAAGAUUGAGACAGAGAGAGUGAAUUCUCGGUUGGUUCUUGAAGAUUUUCGGUUAUGGCUGAAGGUUGGAUGAAGAUGAUGAUUGAAGUUUAUGGUUUGAAGAGGAAGGCAGUGAAGAUAGGGGAAGAAGAUUGAGGAUUGAAGAUGAUGAAGAUGGAGAGAGGAUUGAAGAGAGGCUGAAAGUUUGUUACGUUUCUCUUUUCUCUUUUUCCGGUUUUUGUGAUUUUUUGUUAUGACUCUCUGAUCCUUUUCUUUGUGAAUUCUGUUGCGUUUUUUCCUGUAAUUUUGUUAUGAACCGAUACCGUUUUCCUUUACAGUGAUGUUGGCUCUCUUUUGAUUGAACCCGGUUAUUUUCUUAUUAUGCUGCUGCUUUGUGGUUGUUUUAUUCGGUACGUCGAACCGGCUUUUGCUUCUUGUUUGCAGGGUUUAUUUUCUGGUUUGAAAUUGUAUGCAUAACCGUGAUUGUUAGACCCAUGGCAUGAAGCUUAAGGCACAUCAUGAAGAAUGGCACAGAAGGCCCAUUUGAAGAUUGAAGAAAACCCCAGAAUGUAUGAAGAGUCAGAGUUGAAGAGUAGCAUAGAAAAUAGAUUUUAGGGUCAUGUUUCAUAAAGGAUUUGUAAUGGAUAUUUUUGUAUGGAUUGCAAAUGAUGAACUUGAACAUGUAGAAAUUAGAUUUUUGUAUCUUUAAAUGGACAUAAAAGCACUUGAAUUUGAA
Vicia villosa (hairy vetch) is the source of this 1400-nucleotide long non-coding RNA. RefSeq lists it as uncharacterized. Lineage: Eukaryota; Viridiplantae; Streptophyta; Magnoliopsida; Fabales; Fabaceae. The transcript is spliced from 2 exons. The record is from RefSeq and is a predicted model, not a curated record.